AGGAGACUCCCCUUAGAAUGCCUGAGAUAGGGCAGGUGUCUUUCCACUCAGAAUACCUGAUGUCGGCCAGGGACCCCUCCCCUUACAAUGCCUGAGGUCAGCCAGGUGUCUCUUUCACUAGAAUGUUUGAGAUCGGCCAGGUGUAUCUGCCAUUACAAAGAAUGAAGUUGGCUUGAUGUCUCCCCAUUAGAAAGCCUGAAUUCAACCAGGAGUUUCUCCCAUUAGAAUGCCUGAGAUCGGCCAGGACUCUCCUGUGAGAAUGGUUGUGGGUCCAGAGCAAGCUUCCCUCCCCACUGCAGCUCCUGUGAAAGGGCCUGCUGGUCGACCUCAGACAAGACUAAUCAGCAGGCAGACCAACAAGCUAAAAUUUCUACUAUUACUGCCGACUCAGACCUGGAAGAAGUAGAUUGGGCUGCAAUCACACAAUGGGUGCAUCACCAGUGCGGACACCUAGGCGUACAGGGAACCAUGGCUUGGGGAGUGUAAAGAAGGAUGUUACCCCAGGAUGCAGUUCAGACAAUUUUAUCCCAAUGCACUACAUGCCAACAGUUAAAAACCAAGCCAAUUCCUCAAAGGGCUAUGGGGCACAUUCACCGGGGAAAAAUGCCAGGACAAAUUUGUCAAAUGGACUAUAUUUGUCCCUUGCCACUUUCUAAAGGGUGCCAAUAUAUAUGUACUGCUGUAGACACCUACUUAGGGCUCCUAGUAGCCUGUGCUUAUGCUAAUGCUAACCAAAUUAACACUAUUAAAACAUGAAAUAUCCUAAUUCUA
Homo sapiens (human) is the source of this 771-nucleotide long non-coding RNA. NCBI's taxonomy places the organism in Eukaryota, Metazoa, Chordata, Mammalia, Primates, Hominidae. The record is from Ensembl.